AUUGAACGCUGGCGGCAUGCCUUACACAUGCAAGUCGAACGGUAACAGGUCUUCGGGUGCUGACGAGUGGCGAACGGGUGAGUAAUACAUCGGAACGUGCCUAGUAGUGGGGGAUAACUACUCGAACGAGUGGCUAAUACCGCAUGAGAUCUACGGAUGAAAGCAGGGGAUCGCAAGACCUUGUGACAAUAGAGCGGUCGAUGGCAGAUUAGGUAGUUGGUGGGAUAAAAGCUUACCAAGCCGACGAUCUGUAGCUGGUCUGAGAGGACGAUCAGCCACACUGGGACUGAGACACGGCCCAGACUCCUACGGGAGGCAGCAGUGGGGAAUUUUGGACAAUGGGCGAAAGCCUGAUCCAGCAAUGCCGCGUGCAGGAUGAAGGCCUUCGGGUUGUAAACUGCUUUUGUACGGAACGAAAAGCCCCGGGUUAAUACCCUGGGGUCAUGACGGUACCGUAAGAAUAAGCACCGGCUAACUACGUGCCAGCCGCCGCCGUAA
This 498-nucleotide ribosomal RNA is filed under the name uncultured bacterium. RNAcentral describes it as "partial 16S ribosomal RNA". It matches the Rfam family "Bacterial small subunit ribosomal RNA", at positions 30 to 523 of the family's 1533-position model. The record is from RNAcentral.